AGGAAGAAUGGACUUAUAUGUGUGAUGAUAAGAAGUAACCAGAGGGCUAGCUAAAGAGGAGAGGGAUCAACUUGAGCCAAAAGAAGAGAAGAGAAGGGCCAAAGUGCAAUAUGGGCAGAUCUGAUCGAGAGGGGUCAAAAUCCCUAGGUGGCCUUCGAUCCCCUUGGGCCUGGCACACAUUUCUCUCCCUCAUCCCUCCUUCUCCACCUCCGGCCGCAGCCACGGCCAGGCCGGCAUGGUGGUGCGCCAUCCACCACUCACCACCAUCUCCAGCCACCGCCGCAUCUUGCGCGUCCGAUCAGACAAGGGCGGCGCGGGCGUCUGGUCAUCCGCGUGAACGCCCCCGCGCUGCUGCUCUUUCUCUCUUCCUCCCCUGCUGCUGCUCCUCCACCUUUCUUCCUCUCCUAACCUUGCUGCUGCUCUUCUACUUCUUCUUCCCGCAUCCCCGCUGUCCUGCUCCUUCUCUGAACCUGCUGCUGCUAUUGCGCUUUGCCACUCCCCACGUCUCUACUGCUGCAUCUCUGCUCCUCUCUCCCUAGCGCCACCAUACUGGUGCUCCUUCUCCUUCGCCUGCUGAUACCCCCUUGCCCCACGCCUCUGCUCCUCCUCCUCUUAAAACUGCUGCUGCUCUUCUUUCCCAUGUUCCUGCUCUGCACUCUGCUUCUCACCUCCGUUGCUGCUGUCUCUCUUCUAAACCUCUGCUACCGUUCAGCUCUGAACCAUCUCUGUUGUUCUUCUUCUUUACCAAACCGAACCUACUGCUGUUCUGUGGGUGUGUGAGCCUGUAUGCGUGUGUAUUCAGUGAACUUUUAGUGCUGAGACUUAUUCAAUUGUAAACUGCUUUGCGCUAUUUCAAUAUAUGUGAUUCAUCUGUCAAGUAGCCGUCUGUUACAUUCAGUUUACUUGUUCUGAAUCUUAUUCUAAAAUUGCUCUCUAUUGUAGUCAGCUGAUUUAUCAUUUAAUUUUCAGUCUCCUGUAGCUAUGUACCUGUGAUAUAAGUGUUUGUAAUGUGACCCAUAUCCAUUCUGCUAUAUGUGUUCAUGUCCUGUUGUUCCCUUUGUGUUACUGUUUUAGUUUCUCAUGCAAAUAAAAAUAAUACCAAAAAGACGGAGAGUAUAAUCUGAACCUCCCUUUGCUUCUUUUCAUUUACUUUGUCUGUUGAUUUUCUGGAACUGUCUUAGAUAGCUUAGGUUUAUUUUCCCUGUAAUCGUCACUUAAAUUGUCUAGCCUAGCUUUAGCCAAGCAUCAUCGCUGAUCAUUUAGUCCCUAUGGAGAACACGACAUCCGUAGUUUGGGCAAAUAUUCCACUACAUUUACAAUCGAUCAUUUUGGCGCCGUUGCCGGGGACUAGCAUCGAGCGAUUGUGUGAAGCUAUAGACUAGGCUUAGUAUAGUUCUUGUUUAAAUUGCCAGUCAAAUUUAUUUCUGUGUUUCUUUUACCUUUUUACUUUUUGUUGCUUCGGCUUAUUAGGAUACUAACCCUCUCACCAGAGCUUGAUGUUUGUGAGCGUGUGUAGGAUAUCUUACUGUUUGUAGGCUGAUUGACAGUUGCGCUUGAACAUAUGGCUUUAGUACGUGAUCUUUGGUUGCCAAGUAGUUUGGGCACGAUGACAGGGCCAAUUUGGCCAUCUAUUGAGGCCGAAAAUUUUGAGUUGAGGCCUGGACUUAUUGCUCUCGUCUUGCAGAAUCAGUUUAGAGGAUUACCCAAUGAAGACCCUCAUGAGCACAUUUGUAAUGUCCUAGAGUAUGCCAAUACUGUCCAGUACCAUGGCGUUUCCCAAGAUGCUAUCAAGUGUAUGUUGUUCACAUUCUCUCUCAGAGAUGCUGCUAAGGACUGGUACUAUUCUUUGCCAUCAAGAUCAUACACUUGGGGUGAUAUUUCGCAAGCUUUCCUGCACAGAUAUUUUCCACUUUACAAGCAAGCUGCAAUUCUUGACCAGAUCCUCAGUUUUGCGCAAGAUGGAAGUGAGAGCUUGUAUGCAGCUUGGGAGAGAUAUAAGUAUUUGCUUAAAAAAUGUCCUAAUCAUGGGCAAAAGGAUUGGUUAGUGCUCCAGAUAUUCUAUAGAGGGCUGACACAUGCUUCGAGAGAUCUUAUUGAUCUUUCCGCUGGUGGAACAAUCAUGAACAAGACCGUUGAGGGUGCAAUUAUUCUCAUUGAGAGCAUUGCCUUCCACCAAAUGCAAUGGGGUUAUGAAAGGCCUAGUUCAAAUCCGAAGGUUGCAAGCCAUCUGCAAUCAGAAGCUAUGUGUUCCAUAAGUGAACAGAAAUCAUCCAUGGUGCCUAAUAUUCAAAACCAGCAUGUUCCAUUCCGGGGACAACAACAUUUCAGAGCUGAAUUAGAUCCUCCAUGUAGAAAGAUUGAUCUUACUUCAAGUAUCCUUGAUGAUGAUUAUGAUAUUUUUCAAGAUGAUGCAACCAUUGUAGAUCAGAUGGAAACCACAGUAGCAGAUCCAAUACCUCAUGGCAAUGAAACUGUCCAGACUGAGUCAAAGUUGCAAGAAGAUGUUUAUGAGGAACCUACUCUGAUUGAUGCUAAGUUGAGACAACAAGAUAUGGAGAAGUUCACUUGUGUUAGUCAACUAUGUGACUUGUGGAAUUUAGUCGUGGCACCAAUUGCCCACACCUGUGUUACAACUGUAUCUGGGAUAUUUGUCAAGAAGAAAUCAUUAGCUCCACCGGUGGUUGCCUCUAUCUCAGUUAAAGAGAGUAUCUCAGAGAAGAAUAGUGAAGAUGAGAUUCCAACUCCUGCACAUACAUCUAAGCAAGUCGGAGACAUUCCAAGGAGAGAGAUACAAGAGGUUGAGUCAAAUUUAGAAGAGUUGAUACUUCAAUAUCCUGAGAAGAUCCCACGUGUUGCUGAGCUGCAUGACUGGUGGAAGUCAUCAGUGUCAUUGUUGAAACUUAGUAGUGAUGGUGAUGAGGAGAAUAUUGCUCAGAAAGACAGCGAGGUAGUGAUCUCAGCACCCCUACCAGAUCAUGUUAGUGCAUAUUGACAGAUGGGGACGCUUCAAACUCAAUUAGGUGUUGCUGGUAGUAGCACCAUAGAAGAUCCAGAGGAAGAGAGAUCUCAACUUGAAAAAGAAAUACUCGAAGACGAGGAACAAGAUGAUCCAGAGCUCGAACAACCAAGUGAUCAAGUUGAAGAUUCAUCAUCUACUACUCUUGAAGAAGCAAAAGAAGUUGCUGUAGAUGAACUUGAAGAACCAGAAAUUCAUUUGCCUAUUGUCAUACAAGAGCGUGAUGUAGCAGGUUUAUCUAAUCCUCUUGAUGACAUGCGUCCCUAUGACUUAUUUGCUUCUACCUUGCAUUACAUGAUACCAUCAAUUAAGGUAGAUUUGAGAAAGUAUUUGCUUGGAUAUGAUGAUAUAUACCAUGUUCAUGGCAUUGCUCACAUUUGUUACAAUUACACUUAUUUUCCUCAUGCUAGACCCAUGCUUAAUGAAACAUGUCAUUCUCAUGUUAGUCUGGAGCUUAAUGAUUCAUAUCAUCUUCAUGUUAGCAUUGAGCUUACUGAUUUCUACCAUUCUAAACAUGUGCUUUAUAGCUAUGCUUAUGUAAUUGGGUACUCUAUUGAUGAUUUAGAGGGAAUCUACCCUAUCACUUGUAGUUGUUGUUUGUGUGAGUCCUAUUUCAGGUUUUUGCUUGUGCACGAAUCAAUACAUGCUGACCAGGUUCGAGGUGACAUCCCUUGGGAUCCUGGUGGAGUCAGAGCAUGGCGAUGAGGAGAAGCAAGGGGGCACACACGAGGAAGAGUGAAGCUGGAGCAGGCAUGGGGAUAGAGAAGCAAAAAGAGAAGAGCUGCAGUUUAGAGAGUGUUGAGCGAGUGCUACUUCCUAUAUAAACCCGGUGAGCUGUUUCAUGACCCGAAUCUUAAUAUAUCAUCCAUUGAUACAUGCUGAAAUCAUUUGAUAUUUGCGUUGCUUGAGCCAUUUCUUAAAUGUCGUCCCACUGAAUUUUACCUUUGACAUAUGAUGCUUGAUGUGAAUAUGUGAAGUGAGUGUUGAAUGCCUUGUAAACUAGUGAUCUACACAAUGCUUGCUUUGCUGAAAUUAAUGAAAGUUAUUAGUUUUGAGUGCUCAAAUCUCUAGUACACUAGAAAACUUAAUCAUUUUCUGCUUUUACCUCGAUAAACCUAGAUCAUUAAGUGUUAGAUGCUGAGUUUGUGCCUAUUGUGUUCCCAUUGAGAGCAAUCACUUUACCACUAUGGACUAGUAUGCUAUGUUCCCUGGAUCGGUAGCAUGUGAACCAGACAUGGAGAAGUGAUGAUUCCUGUUUUUGUGCUUAUGUGUUGUUCAUUUAAGAUAAAUAAUAAUGAAUAAUAAGUCUGACUACCUACAGUAGCAUGUCAUGUUCCCGGGAUAGGUGGCAUGUGAAAUCGGGUUAGCUUGGGCAGUAAUUAAUAUUAUAAAAUGUAAUUGUCGAACCAGGUGUAUACCAUGUUCUCGGGAUCGAUGGUAUGUUCCUUUGGGGAGACAAACAAAAAAAACUAAUAAUUGGUCGAGCCAGGUGUAUACCAUGUUCUCGGGAUCGGUGGUAUGUUCCUUUGGUAAGAUCAAUAAAAUAUUAUCAUUGCUUCCUUCAAAUUCAAUAAGUGGUUCAACCACAAUGUUCCUGGUAAUAAGUGAUCUGAUCACAAGUUCAAGUUAUUUUUUUUUGGAUCAAGCUCUCUUUAGGAACCAUUUGGCGCAGUCAUCAUUUAAACUUGUCGAUCCUCUUUUAUCAUUGUAAAAGUUUAAAAUGGUCAUGCUUACUAGUAUCCUAUUGCUUUGUAGCACUCUUAACCAUCAAUUUUCACUAGCUAAGUCCAAAAGCAUGCAUUGUUUAGAGAUCUACUUCACUUGGACAUUCUCUAAUCAGCUCACUAUUCACUAUCUCGCUCUUGUCAUCUGCCUUUACUUGAGGACAAGUAAAGAUUUAAGUGUGGGGGAACUUGAUAUGCACAUUUCAUAUACAUCUUUUGACACUCAAAUAUGCAGUUUAUUGAGAUAUGACCAUCAAUUCUUGCUGCGAAAUAUUGAAUAUUUGCAUGAAAAUCAUAUAAAGAAUCAUUUGCAAGUCAUUUGUUUCUUUUGCAGAAAAGUGCACAAAGGCACUAUAAACUUCCAAGAUCUAGACUAGGUGGCUAAAAGAAUUAGUCAAGUGAAAAGAAGAGAAGGAAGAAUGGACUUAUAUGUGUGAUGAUAAGAAGUAACCAGAGGGCUAGCUAAAGAGGAGAGGGGUCUACUUGAGCCAAAAGAAGAGAAGAGAAGGGCCAAAGUGCAAUAUGGGCAGAUCUGAUCGAGAGGGGUCAAAAUCACUAGGUGGCCUUCGAUCCCCUUGGGCCUGGCACACAUCUCUCUCCCUCAUCCCUCCUUCUCCACCUCCGGCCGCCGCCACGGCCAGGCCGGCGUGGUGGUGCGCCAUCCACCACCAGGAUCCACCACUCACCACCAUCUCCAGCCACCGCCGCAUCUUGCGCGCCCGAUCAGACAAGGGCGGCGCGGGCGUCUGGUCAUCCGCGUGAACGCCCCCGCGUUGCUGCUCUUUCUCUCUUCCUCCCCUGCUGCUGCUCCUCCACCUUUCUUCCUCUCCUAACCUUGCUGCUGCUCUUCUACUUCUUCUUCCCGCAUCCCCGCUGUCCUGCUCCUUCUCUGAACCUACUGCUGCUAUUGCGCUUUGCCACUCCCCACGUCUCUACUGUUGCAUCUCUGCUCCUCUCUCCCUAGCGCCACCAUACUGCUGCUCCUUCUCCUUCGCCUGCUGCUACUCCCUUGCCCCACGCCUCUGCUCCUCCUCCUCUUAAAACUGCUGCUGCUCUUCUUUCCCACGUUCCUGCUCUGCACUCUGCUUCUCACCUCCGUUGCUGCUGUCUCUCUUCUAAACCUCUGCUACUAUUCAGCUCUGAACCAUCUUUGUUGUUCUUCUUCUUUACCAAACCGAACCUACUGCUGUUCUGUGGGUGUGUGAGCCUGUGUGCGUGUGUAUUCAGUGAACUUUUAGUGUUGAGACUUAUUCAAUUGUAAACUGCUUUGCGCUAUUUCAAUAUAUGUGAUUCAUCUGUCAAGUAGCCGUCUGUUACAUUCAGUUUACUUGUUCUGAAUCUUAUUCUAAAAUUGCUCUCUAUUGUAGUCAGCUGAUUUGUCAUUUAAUUUUCCGUCUCUGUGUAGCUAUGUACCUGUGAUAUAAGUGUUUGUAAUGUGACCCAUAUCCAUUCUGCUAUAUGUGUUCAUGUCCUGUUGUUCCCUUUGUGUUACUGUUUUAGUUUCUCAUGCAAAUAAAAAUAAUACCAAAAAGACGGAGAGUAUAAUCUGAACCUCCCUUUGCUUCUUUUCAUUUACUUUGUCUGUUGAUUUUCUGGAACUGUCUUAGAUAGCUUAGUUUUAUUUUCCCUGUAAUCGUCACUUAAAUUGUCUAGCCUAGCUUUAGCCAAGCAUCAUCGCUGAUCAUUUAGUUCCUGUGGAGAACACGACAUCCGUAGUUUGGGCAAAUAUUCCACUACAUUUACAAUCGAU
Molecule: long non-coding RNA, 6490 nt
Filed under: Triticum aestivum (bread wheat)
Lineage: Eukaryota; Viridiplantae; Streptophyta; Magnoliopsida; Poales; Poaceae
Description: long non-coding RNA (TAES_LNC001591)
Source: RNAcentral